Molecule: long non-coding RNA, 307 nt
Filed under: Capsicum annuum
Lineage: Eukaryota; Viridiplantae; Streptophyta; Magnoliopsida; Solanales; Solanaceae
Description: long non-coding RNA (CANN_LNC018452)
Source: RNAcentral
CUCUUCUCUCCCUCAGUUUUUUUGUUCUUCUUGUGAGGAAGAUGAUUUGGUGAUUGUUCUUAUUAUGGAGAAAAUGAUGAUGAAAAAAUGAGCCUCUCCCUUUUUCCUUUUUAGAAUUUUCCUUUUAUAUUUUUUAUUUAAUUUUUUUCUUUAUUUAUUAUCCUACGUGGAAUCAUAUAAUUGGUGGCUUGUGGGAAUAAGUGUGUGGCAUGUGGAAAGAUGAGGGUGGUGCAUGGAAAAAUGACUAGGGUGUGUGCCUUUUGCAUGUAUCCAAUAAAAAAUGAAAAGUGAGGUGUUGAGGUGACAU